AGGGAAUAGAUACCCGGGUAGUCCUGGCAGUAAACGGUGCACGUUUGGUGUGGGCGCAAUCGACCGCGUCCGCGCCGGAGCUAAACGCGUUAAACGUGCCGCCUGGGAAGUACGGUCGCAAGAUUAAAACUCAAAGAAAUUGACGGGGACCCGCACAAGCGGUGGAGUAUGUGGCUUAAUUCGAUGCAACGCGAAGAACCUUACCUGGUCUUGACAUGCAUUGUGUCUCCGGUGAAAGCCGGAUAGGGUAGCAAUACCCGCUUUGCACAGGUGCUGCAUGGCUGUCGUCAGCUCGUGUCGUGAGAUGUUGGGUAAUACCGUCACGAAGCGCACCCUACGUGAUUGUUGUCACCGGCGUAUG
This 361-nucleotide ribosomal RNA is filed under the name uncultured bacterium. RNAcentral's name for it is "bacterial SSU rRNA". It matches the Rfam family "Bacterial small subunit ribosomal RNA", at positions 773 to 1130 of the family's 1533-position model. The record is from RNAcentral.